Long non-coding RNA from Magnolia sinica, 1762 nucleotides. RefSeq lists it as uncharacterized. Lineage: Eukaryota; Viridiplantae; Streptophyta; Magnoliopsida; Magnoliales; Magnoliaceae. The record is from RefSeq and is a predicted model, not a curated record. The transcript is spliced from 2 exons.
CUUCAGUGUAUUUUACUUAGAAUAAUGUUCCUUACGAUACCAUCUGAAAUACACCUAACCUAAGGUCAAUCUAAGGUUAUAUCACCUGAUGGUUGACACAUACAAAUGCUUCAAUCUUUGAACCAAGCCAACGAAAAGCUUACGAUGAUGAGUCUUCCUUGAGAUGUUGAUCUAGUCUUUACGUAGUCUUCAUGAGUCGUUGAAGAACAUCUUCAUGAGUGCUUGUUAUCCAUUCAGGACUACGAAAUUUGACAAUCUUGACUAUGCUUUAAGUAUAAGCACUUACAAAAACCACGCCUAGUACGAGUGGGCAUAAACUUAGGGACAUAAUGGGGAACCUAAAAUCUAAAAACUCAAAUGCAAUGUGAUGAUAAUGGGAAGAUUGUUAGCUCUAGACACGGCGAUAUGAAAACCUAACCUAGAUGCAACAUAAGAAUCCUAUGCUAAACCUAGGCUCUAAUGCGAUGGACACACUAAGCCUAAACUCUAAAUGCCAUGGACACAUUAAACCCUAUGCUAACCUAGGCUCUGAUACCAAAAUUUGAUGCAGGACAGGUAGCCUAGCCUAGAAUGAUGUAAUGAGAUCAUCAACAGAUUAACUAGAAUAAUUUAAAGCACAAAAUAAUGAUAAUCAAUCACAAGCUUAAUGAAUUCAAGUAUUUAACCAUACUCAGAUUUAAGACUAAAUCACAACCCGUCAAUUAAAUCUUAUAAAACAUGAUUAGAUAGGACUUAUGGAAGGUAGAACUUCCAUCUAGCAUAGGGAUUAUUCAUAAUUCAAAGGGAUUCACUUGGUUUAGGGUUUUGGCUAAACUAGGUUUAGGUUUAGGAUUUAGAUUUUGGAAAUUAGAUUUUAGGUUUAGGAUUGAAGUAAAGGACAAGGGAUAGAGAUGAAUGAGGGAGAGGAAACAAGGGGGCCACUGUACAAGGUUGUCCGCGAAGGAUGACCGACUGUGGUCGAUUUGGGCUUAGGAUGUGUCAAUUUAGGAUUUAGAUGGUAACAAAGAGAAAAAGAAAAAAAAGGAAAAGAAAAAGGAAGAGAUGAAAAGGAAGAAAAGAAGAAGAUGAGAAAAGAUGAUAUCUUGUUGAGAAUAGAGAAAAGUAGAACAGAUAACUAGGGAAUCGCUCCCCAUGGUUUCACACCACCAAUCCAAUUGCAGGAUUUUUUUAUUUAUUUUUUUUAUUUUGCUCAAUCUUGAAGCAAAAGGAGAAAAAUCUCUUUCAUUCAUAACAUGCAUAUUGGCUAGGGUGGGGACGUCCAGCCCUUUUAUAUUUUUAUAAAAGACUAUACAAAAAGAUGCUCUCUUAUAAGAUUCUCAACAUAAAGACGCUUAAUGAAUUAAAAGUUGUCCCUAACUCCCUAAUCACAACACAAAUAUGAGCUAUACCAAAAAUAACAAAACAUGUAAACAAACUAAACAACUAAACUAUUUCAUGGCCCAUGGGGGUCUAUGAUCAAGAUAUCUGAUAAUGAUGAUCUAAUGGUCCAAUGUGUAUAUCAAGCUCCUAUAUGUAGCCCACACGCAUUUUCCCAGUGUGGGGUCUUCAAAGAUGCACAAACAUGCACAUGGGGUCUUCAAUAUGGCUAGGGAUGUGAAUUGGGCCAAGUGGGCCCCAUGUAAUGGUUGUCUAGCCAUAAGGAAACUGGCCCAGCCCUCCUCUGAUAUGGUGCUCAGAUGUCCUCAUUACAAGGCAAAACAAAAUCUUCCAACGGGAAAAAUCUAACAAACCCUUGCCAAAUCAACACAAUUUUGCUUCAACA